RNAcentral lists this transfer RNA (74 nucleotides) under Nocardia terrae. RNAcentral describes it as "Nocardia sp. ET3-3 tRNA-Met". It matches the Rfam family "tRNA". From Rfam's summary of the family: Transfer RNA (tRNA) molecules are approximately 80 nucleotides in length. Their secondary structure includes four short double-helical elements and three loops (D, anti-codon, and T loops). The record is from RNAcentral. Lineage: Bacteria; Bacillati; Actinomycetota; Actinomycetes; Mycobacteriales; Nocardiaceae.
CGCGGGGUAGCGCAGCUCGGCAGCGCAGUGGUCUCAUACGCCAACGGUCGCGGGUUCGAAUCCCGCCCCCGCUA